AAUGGAGUGUCAGAAAAAUGAGUUGGAUUUAAGCUUCUAUUAUGGGAUUCCCCCUCCAUU
Molecule: transfer RNA, 60 nt
Filed under: Macrostomum lignano
Lineage: Eukaryota; Metazoa; Platyhelminthes; Macrostomidae
Description: tRNA-Leu
Source: RNAcentral